ACCGGAUAGUUUUUUCCUCCGCAUGGAGGAAAAAGGAAAGACGGCUUCUGCUGUCACUUACAGAUGGGCCCGCGGCGCAUUAGCUAGUUGGUGGGGUAACGGCUCACCAAGGCAACGAUGCGUAGCCGACCUGAGAGGGUGAUCGGCCACAUUGGGACUGAGACACGGCCCAAACUCCUACGGGAGGCAGCAGUAGGGAAUCUUCCGCAAUGGACGAAAGUCUGACGGAGCAACGCCGCGUGAGUGAAGAAGGCCUUCGGGUCGUAAAACUCUGUUGCCGGGGAAGAACAAGUGCCGUUCGAACAGGGCGGCGCCUUGACGGUACCCGGCCAGAAAGCCACGGCUAACUACGUGCCAGCAGCCGCGGUAAUACGUAGGUGGCAAGCGUUGUCCGGAAUUAUUGGGCGUAAAGCGCGCGCAGGCGGCUUCUUAAGUCUGAUGUGAAAUCUUGCGGCUCAACCGCAAGCGGUCAUUGGAAACUGGGAGGCUUGAGUGCAGAAGAGGAGAGUGGAAUUCCACGUGUAGCGGUGAAAUGCGUAGAGAUGUGGAGGAACACCAGUGGCGAAGGCGGCUCUCUGGUCUGUAACUGACGCUGAGGCGCGAAAGCGUGGGGAGCAAACAGGAUUAGAUACCCUGGUAGUCCACGCCGUAAACGAUGAGUGCUAAGUGUUAGAGGGUUUCCGCCCUUUAGUGCUGCAGCUAACGCAUUAAGCACUCCGCCUGGGGAGUACGGCCGCAAGGCUGAAACUCAAAGGAAUUGACGGGGGCCCGCACAAGCGGUGGAGCAUGUGGUUUAAUUCGAAGCAACGCGAAGAACCUUACCAGGUCUUGACAUCCUCUGACCUCCCUGGAGACAGGGCCUUCCCCUUCGGGGGACAGAGUGACAGGUGGUGCAUGGUUGUCGUCAGCUCGUGUCGUGAGAUGUUGGGUUAAGUCCCGCAACGAGCGCAACCCUUGACCUUAGUUGCCAGCAUUCAGUUGGGCACUCUAAGGUGACUGCCGGUGACAAACCGGAGGAAGGUGGGGAUGACGUCAAAUCAUCAUGCCCCUUAUGACCUGGGCUACACACGUGCUACAAUGGAUGGUACAAAGGGCUGUCGAGACCGCGAGGUUAAGCCAAUCCCAGAAAACCAUUCCCAGUUCGGAUUGCAGGCUGCAACCCGCCUGCAUGAAGCCGGAAUCGCUAGUAAUCGCGGAUCAGCAUGCCGCGGUGAAUAC
RNAcentral lists this ribosomal RNA (1218 nucleotides) under Heyndrickxia coagulans. RNAcentral describes it as "bacterial SSU rRNA". It matches the Rfam family "Bacterial small subunit ribosomal RNA", at positions 168 to 1369 of the family's 1533-position model. The record is from RNAcentral. Lineage: Bacteria; Bacillati; Bacillota; Bacilli; Caryophanales; Bacillaceae.